CAAGUCGAGCGAUGAACCUCCUUCGGGAGGGGUUUAGUGGCGAACGGGUGAGUAACACGUGGGCGAUCUGCCCUGCACUCUGGGACAAGCCCUGGAAACGGGGUCUAAUACCGGAUACUGACCCGCUUGGACAUCCAAGCGGUUCAAAAGCUCCGGGGGUGCGGGAUGACCCCGCGGCCUAUCCGCUUGUUGGUGAGGAAAUGGCUCACCAAGGCGACAACGGGGAGCCGGUCUGAGAGGGAGACCGGCCACACUGGGACUGAAACACGGCCCAGACUCCUACGGGAGGCAGCAGUGGGGAAUAUUGCACAAUGGGCGAAAGCCUGAUGCAGCGACCCCGCGUGAGGGAUGACGGCCUUCGGGUUGUAAACCUCUUUCAGCAGGGAAGAAGCGAAAGUGACGGUACCUGCAAAAAAAGCGCCGGCUAACUACGUGCCAGCAGCCGCGGUAAUACGUAGGGCGCGAGCGUUGUCCGGAAUUAUUGGGCGUAAAGAGCUCGUAGGCGGCUUGUCACGUCGGUUGUGAAAGCCCGGGGCUUAACCCCGGGUCUGCAGUCGAUACGGGCAGGCUAGAGUUCGGUAGGAGAGAUCGGAAUUCCUGGUGUAGCGGUGAAAUGCACAUAUAUCAGGAGGAACACCGGUGGCAAGCGCAGAUCUCUGGACCGAUACUGACGCUGAAGAGCAAUAGCGUGGGGAGCGAACAGGAUUAGAUACCCUGGUAGUCCACGCCAUAAACGGUGGACACUAUGUGUGGGCGACAUUCCACGUCGUACGUGCCGCAGCUAACGCAUUACGUGCCUCGCCUGGUGAGUACGGCCGCAAGGCUAAAACUCAUAGGAAUUGACGGCGCCACACACAAGCUGCAGAGCAUGUAGUCUUAUCUCGACGCAACGCGAAGAACUGUACCUAUGGUUUCGACAUACACCGG
RNAcentral lists this ribosomal RNA (927 nucleotides) under Actinomycetales bacterium 1A11. Its description in RNAcentral is "bacterial SSU rRNA". It matches the Rfam family "Bacterial small subunit ribosomal RNA", at positions 58 to 994 of the family's 1533-position model. The record is from RNAcentral. Lineage: Bacteria; Bacillati; Actinomycetota; Actinomycetes; Actinomycetales.